UUUAUUUAGUCUGCCCGCUGCCCUCUUACCUUCCCAGUUCUUGCCGUCCCUCCAAAAUAAUUUCCAAUCUCUUUUCUCCAAGUGAAAAUCAAAAUAUCUGCAACAGCGGUGCUUCUUUCCAAACUGUUUGUUCGAUCUCCAAGCCUUUGCUUUCAAGCCCUCUAUAGGAUAGGGCAUAGGUGUGCUGUUGAUAAGCUGCAAUGUAUGGAAGGUUGUAGAAUUUUGAUUGGAUACUCAUUACAGAGUACACGCCUAGCGAAACCUUCACCAAACACCUAUUAAUCAUUUCCUUUUUGUUUACCUAAUCCCUCCUUAAAAGCAUUGCAAUUUGCAGGUAAUUUUCAUUAUUAAUACUCUUGUCCUUCUUCUUCUUAUGUCUAAUACGGUCUAUCUUCAUUUGAAAGAUUUAAAUAAAUCUUUCAAACUUGUGGUCUAUCUUUAUUUGGCUGAUUAAUUUAAUUAAAUCUUCAAACU
Molecule: long non-coding RNA, 474 nt
Organism: Malania oleifera
Lineage: Eukaryota; Viridiplantae; Streptophyta; Magnoliopsida; Santalales; Ximeniaceae
Exons: 2
Source: RefSeq, a predicted model, not a curated record